This 882-nucleotide long non-coding RNA is filed under the name Prunus persica (peach). RNAcentral describes it as "long non-coding RNA (PPER_LNC000996)". The record is from RNAcentral. Lineage: Eukaryota; Viridiplantae; Streptophyta; Magnoliopsida; Rosales; Rosaceae.
CUGCUUGUAGAUCUACGGCGCCUCUAUGUGUCGACACGUUGCUCUUGCUUUAUUUCCUGUGACUUACCAGGAGACGACAUCAGGACCCACGUUUUAGAAUCCAAUUCACGUUUCAUUUUAAAUCAUACAAAAUACAAAAUUUAAAAAUAAGAACUUGUGGGCUUCAGAAUUCAUUAUGGGUCAGGUUUCACCGUGGUUUGGGUUUCAAAAUUGUGAGCUUUGGGCUUCAAAGUUUUUUGGGUUUCAGUUUGCGGAAGCCUGUGUGAUUAGGGGUUACUAAUUCAUUUUUUUUUGUUUUUUUUUUUGUUUUGAGUCACUUUUCGAACACAUAUGAUGAGAUUGUGACAAAUGUUUGCAUGACUUAAAUGAAAAUUGGAUUUCAUUUUAUUUUAUUCUUAAAAAAAUAUUUUAAUUAAAAUUGUUUUUGGCAUCGUUCUAGCAUGAUAUGUUUGAAACCUUCUUUACACUUGCUAUUUGUUUCAUAAUUUUCCAGUUCAAGAAUUUGCAUUGUUUACACCAUAAUCAACCAAGCGUGUUUACACCAUAAUCAACCAAGCGUAUUCGACAUUAGACGAGUGACACCUUGGUAGACAUGUCGGCUGCCGAAGGAAAGGAAACAUGCUAAACAGGCACACAAACAAGCCCUUAGAAAGACGAAUGACAUCAUCUCCUUCUUAGCCUACCAAAGGAGGAACCCCUUCUGAAGCGGUAACUACAUGCCGAAGCUCCCAACUACAGAACCUAGAGCCAUGGACAUGUGUCAUCUCCACAAUAGUUUGCACAAAGUCCCACAUUGAAACUUGUGCAAGACUUCCAUUUUCACUUCCCUAUAAAUAGGAAACAGUACCCGAGCAAAAAGGGUAACUAUUUUCUAACAUUUAC